GAGUUUGAUCAUGGCUCAGAUUGAACGCUGGCGGCAUGCCUAACACAGCAAGUCGAACGGUAACGACGGAAGCUUGCUUCCGGGCGACGAGUGGCGGACGGGUGAGUAAUACUUAGGAAUCUGCCCAGUAGUGGGGGACAACUCGGGGAAACUCGAGCUAAUACCGCAUACGCCCUACGGGGGAAAGCGGGGGAUCUUCGGACCUCGCGCUAUUGGAUGAGCCUAAGUCAGAUUAGCUUGUUGGUAGGGUAACGGCCUACCAAGGCGACGAUCUGUAGCUGGUCUGAGAGGACGACCAGCCACACUGGAACUGAGACACGGUCCAGACUCCUACGGGAGGCAGCAGUGGGGAAUAUUGGACAAUGGGCGAAAGCCUGAUCCAGCAAUGCCGCGUGUGUGAAGAAGGCCUGCGGGUUGUAAAGCACUUUCAGUAGGGAAGAAAAGCUUACGGCUAAUACCCGUGAGUCUUGACGUAACCUACAGAAGAAGCACCGGCUAACUCCGUGCCAGCAGCCGCGGUAAUAC
This 525-nucleotide ribosomal RNA is filed under the name uncultured bacterium. Its description in RNAcentral is "bacterial SSU rRNA". It matches the Rfam family "Bacterial small subunit ribosomal RNA", at positions 9 to 526 of the family's 1533-position model. The record is from RNAcentral.